CCGGGGUUUCUUUACCAGGUACCGUCAUUAUCUUCCCUGGCGAAAGAGCUUUACGACCCUAGGGCCUUCGUCACUCACGCGGCAUGGCUAGAUCAGGGUUUCCCCCAUUGUCUAAGAUUCCCCA
This 124-nucleotide ribosomal RNA is filed under the name uncultured bacterium. RNAcentral describes it as "partial 16S ribosomal RNA". The record is from RNAcentral.